ACACAGGUGUACAAACAGGUUCUCACAGACACACACAGGUGUACAAACAGGUUCUCACAGACACACACAGGUGUACAAACAGGUUCUCACAGACACAUACAGGUGUACAAACAGGUUCUCACAGACACAUACAGGUGUACAAACAGGUUCUCACAGACACACACAGGUGUACAAACAGGUUCUCACAGACACACACAGGUGUACAAACAGGUUCUCACAGACACAUACAGGUGUACAAACAGGUUCUCACAGACACACACAGGUGUACAAACAGGUUCUCACAGACACAUACAGGUGUACACACAGGUUCUCACAGACACAUACAGGUGUACAAACAGGUUCUCACAGACACACACAGGUGUACACACAGGUACUCACAGACACACACAGGUGUACACACAGGUUCUCACAGACACAUACAGGUGUACACACAGGUUCUCACAGACACAUACAGGUGUACAAACAGGUUCUUACAG
Long non-coding RNA from Brienomyrus brachyistius, 476 nucleotides. RefSeq lists it as uncharacterized. NCBI's taxonomy places the organism in Eukaryota, Metazoa, Chordata, Actinopteri, Osteoglossiformes, Mormyridae. The record is from RefSeq and is a predicted model, not a curated record. The transcript is spliced from 4 exons.